This 247-nucleotide ribosomal RNA is filed under the name uncultured bacterium. Its description in RNAcentral is "partial 16S ribosomal RNA". It matches the Rfam family "Bacterial small subunit ribosomal RNA", at positions 523 to 769 of the family's 1533-position model. The record is from RNAcentral.
AUACGUAGGUGGCAAGCGUUGUCCGGAAUUACUGGGCGUAAAGGAUGCGUAGGCGGAUAUGUAAGUCAGAUGUGAAAUACCCGGGCUCAACUUCGGGGCUGCAUUUGAAACUGUAAUUCUUGAGUGUCGGAGAGGAAAGCGGAAUUCCUAGUGUAGCGGUGAAAUGCGUAGAUAUUAGGAGGAACACCAGUGGCGAAGGCGGCUUUCUGGACGAUAACUGACGCUGAGGCGCGAAAGUGUGGGGAGC